CUCCCACGACUGGAUUCGUAAAGCUCNGUUUGUAAGAGAAGAACGAGUGUGAGAUGGGAAAGUUCACGUUUCGACGGAUCAACNGAAGCACGCUACAUGCAGCAGCGCGAUANGUGCAGCGUAUCGAUAUGCAGANNGNGNUANNNNNNANCUGCCUAUCCCUGUGUGCUUGGAAACUGGGAGACUUGAGUGCAGAAGAGGAGAGUGGAACUCCAUGUGUAGCGGUGAAAUGCGUAGAUAUAUGGAAGAACACCAGUGGCGAAAGCGGCUCUCUGGUCUGUAACUGACGCUGAGGUUCUAAAUCGUGGGUAGCAAACAGGAUUAGAUACCCUGGUAGUCCACGCCGUCGACGCGGCCG
This 358-nucleotide ribosomal RNA is filed under the name uncultured bacterium. RNAcentral describes it as "partial 16S ribosomal RNA". It matches the Rfam family "Bacterial small subunit ribosomal RNA", at positions 580 to 814 of the family's 1533-position model. The record is from RNAcentral.